RNAcentral lists this long non-coding RNA (2624 nucleotides) under Pelobates cultripes (western spadefoot toad). The record is from RNAcentral. Lineage: Eukaryota; Metazoa; Chordata; Amphibia; Anura; Pelobatidae.
CUGGUUGCACCCAAAUGCCCGUAGUUCCCCUAUUUUACUUUUUUUUUUUUUUACCCCUUUAUUUCUUGUCUGGAUCUAUGUCCUAGGUGCCUUUAUCUUAGUGUUCCAUGGAUGGUGUGCACCGCUUGGCCUUUAUCUGCCGUCGCCAGCUCGCACGAUGAAAUCCACGCGUAUGCGUAGAUGAACACUUGUUCAUUUGCUAUUGUUUGAAUUUCAGACUGAAUUACGAAUAUUUGUACAUUUGUCAAAAAGACGACUGAACGAAUAGAAAUUACAUUGAAUGAAGCGAAAACUGAAUUUCAGUUGUCUCCCUUCAGUCAUAACCCGUCAACGGCAGGGGGGAAAUUUAAGGGAAAAGUAGGGGAAGUAUUGUCUUGUGCACAACAAAUGUAGAGGGUAAAUCUAGAGAAUGUAUUGCAAUGUUAAAGUAUUCUCCCGAAAGCAACAACUAACAGGAACAUACAGAGCCAGUGUGUGAAUCCUGACACCGGAUCAGGGGGAGUAUCGUGACCAACCCUCACACGGCAUUCACAGAGUUUAACCAAAAGAUUCAAAUGUUCAUUUAACUUUUCUGUUUAAAGGGAAGAAAAAGAAGAAAACUCGAGGAGAUCAUUUUAAGCAGCGAUUCCGAAAGAAUUUCCAAGCUCUGCUUGAAGAACAGGUAUUAGUCACUGUGUCUCGUGUCACUGUGUCUCCCUGCAGCAAGGGGGAACAGAUUCCCAGCGCCCCUUGUCUGUGUCACCCUGCAGCAAGAGAGACCAAUGUAUAGCGCCUCCUGUCUCUGUCAGUGUCACCCUGCAAGGGGAGGGACAGACUCAUAGCGCCCCCUGGCUGUGUCACUCUGCAGUGGGAGGGACAGACUCAUAGCGUCCCCUGGCUGUGUCAGUGUGUCACCCUGCAGGGAGAGGGACAGAUUCAUAGCGCCCCCUGUGUGUGCCACUGGGUCACCUUGCAAGGGGAGGGACAGACUCAUAUCGCCUCCUGUCUGGCACUAUGUCACCCCCUGUCUGUGUCACCCUGCAGCAAGAGAGACCAAUGCAUAGCACCUCCUGUCUGUGUCAGUGUGUCACACUGCAAGGGGAGGAACAGACUUAUAGCGCCCCCUGGCUGUGUCACCCUGCAGGGGAAGGGACAGACUCCUAACGCCUCCUGUCUGUGUCAGUGUGUCACCCUGCAAGGGGAGGAACAGACUCGUAGUGCCCCCUGGCUGUGUCACCCUGCAGGGGGAGGGACAGACUCAUAGCGCCCCCUGUCUGGCACUGCGUCACCCUGCAGGAAGAGGGACAGACUCAUAGCGCCCCCUGUCUGGCACUGCGUCACCCUGCAGGUAGAAAGACACUCAUAGCGUGUUUUUUUUUUUUUGUUUUUUUUCUGUUUCAGAACUUAAGCACAAGUGAGGGUCCCAAUUACUUGACAGCUUGCGCCCUUUCAUCAAACUUCCCCCAGCGCCACUUCUGCUCUGUGUGUGGCUUCCCAUCCAAUUACUCCUGUGUGUCUUGCGGUGCGAGGUAUUGCAGCGUGAAAUGUUUGGGGACUCACCAAGAAACAAGGUAAGGACAAAUAAAGCUAGCACUAAACCCUGUAGUAGCACUCAUCCUUCUUAAUACUUCAGACUCUGGGAUUUAGAAUAGAAGCAGAAAUACAGAGUUUGUAAAGCACAUUGACACAUUAUUGUGCUCCAUUCUUUCCUUCCUUCUCAUGCUGUUGUCCUUAUAGUCCCGUCUUCCUCCUGUCCGUUACACCUGUGUAAUUUCUCCUGUUUGUAUGACGACUUUCCUUUCUCUGUCUUGCCGAUGCCUGCGUGCUGCGCUGUUUGUCACGUUGCUGGCUGAUCCGGUCUCUUUCUCGUUUUUCCAGGUGUUUGAAGUGGACGGUAUGAAACCUGCUCCAGCUGAACAUUGACUCGUUAUCUUGUAUUUUCUGUAAUUAGCUGUAAAUAUUUUUAAAAUGGCCUGCACAUUGUAUGGACAUGUAUGUUGUUUCAUUCUUUUUACAUAUAUAUUUUUUUAUUUGAUAUUUAAUGUUUAAAUCGGGGUAGUCUAAAUUUGUGCCUCUGACUACCAUUCCUAAACCGGGUUAUUCACUUAGCUGGGAAUUCUUGGGAAAUGACCGAGAUAUUUCACAUUUUAGGCCAAAAAGCCAAAAACUUAAAAAAAAAAAAAUUCAGUUUGAGCUGUUUUUCCCUAAAAUAAGAAACUGAAUUUUCUCUGAUUCCUGCAUUGUGUGAACGUUGCGCUCUCUCUAUGUGAGUUGUAGUCCAGAUGUUUCUGAUUUGCCCAGAGAGUAUGGAGUAAAUGUAAUAUUGAAAUUCAUUGAACAAAACCUGUAUUGCAGAUUUAAAUAAGUGGGGGCGGGUUUAAAUGUAAAAAUAAAGCAAUGACUAUUUUUCUCUUUUCUCGUAUUGCCAGUUUAUACAAGUUGCAGUCAGUGAAUGAGUUCAUGGAGAGACCAUGUAAUAGGCAGUAUACUCAGUAUACUUCACACAGUAAAUAUAAAACUGCUUCGGUCACAGACUGAUAUGUAGAAUAUGGUGGUCGGUACGUGCUCGUCUAAAGGAAAAAUCAUCAUUUUUUUUUUUUUUAAACUAUCUCUAACCAACCCCUUAGUCACCCCCAAAUACCCCU